Oryctolagus cuniculus (rabbit) is the source of this 9861-nucleotide non-coding RNA. The record is from RefSeq and is a predicted model, not a curated record. Lineage: Eukaryota; Metazoa; Chordata; Mammalia; Lagomorpha; Leporidae.
AACUCGGGCCGUCCUCCACUACACUCCCUGGCCACAGCAGAGAGCUGGCCUGGAAGAGGGGCAACCGGGACAGAAUCCGGCGCCCCGACCGGGACUAGAACCCGGUGUGCCGGCGCCGCAAGGCGGAGGAUUAGCCCAGUGAGCCGCAGCGCUGGCCUAAAUACUCUAAUUAAAAGCCAGAGAUCAUUAGGAUUUUAAAAAAGCAAGACAAAUAUUUUCAUGGUCUCCAACUUACAAACUACUCAAAUUAUGAUGGUGCAAAAAUAUGCAUUCAGUAGAAACUAUACUCUUCAAUUUUGAUCUUUUUCCAGGCUGGUGAUAUGCAGCACAAUAUUCUCUUAUGAUGCUGGGCAGCAGCAGAGAGUUGCAGCGCCCAAACAACCACACAAUCACCAGGGUAAGCUACCAAUGUGUCAAAUACCAUUUGAUUUACAGUAUUUUCAACUUAAAAUGGGUUUAUCAGUACAUAACCUCAUUGUAACACAAGGAGUACCUGUAAGCUGUUCAUAUGACUUAUUUAUUUAUUUAUUUUGAAAGAAUUACAGAGUGAGAGGGAGAGACAGAUACAGAAAGAGAUCUUCUAUCCACUGGCUCACUCCCCAGAUGGCUGCAAUGGCCAGCACUGGACCAGGCCAAACCCAGGAGCCAGGAGCUUCAUCAGGAUCUCCCAUGGGGGUGACAGGGAACCCAACAUUUGUGCCAUCCUCUGCGGCUUUUCCCAGGUCUUUAACAGGGAGCUGGAUUAGAAGUGGAGCAGCUGGGACACAACCAGCACCCGUAUGGGACACCAGUGUUGCAGGCAGUGCCUUUACCCUCUGCAGCCCCUAGUUGUAUCUCUUUUGAUUUUAUAUCUCUUGGACCUUUGUUGUUAGGAAUAUACACUCUUCAUUAUGGAACAUCUCUCUCUCUCUUUUUUAUUUUGAUUCUUUAAAAGGAUUUUGUUUAUUUGAGAGGCAGAGUUUCAGAGAGAGGGAGAGACAGAGAGGUCUUCCAUCGAAACUGCUUGACUCGCCAAACAGCCACAACAGCUGGGGUUGGGCUGUUCUGAAGCCAUGAGCCAGGAGCUUCUUCCGGGUCUCCUACAUGGGUGUAGGAGCCCAAGCACUUGGGUCAUUUGUCACUGCUUUCAGGCCAGAGCAGAUAGCUGGAUUGGAAGUGGAACAGCUGGGUCAUGAAUUGAUUUCCAUGUGGGAUGCUGGUGCCACAGGCAGAAGCUUAGCCUACCACACCACAGCGCCAGCCUGGAACAUCUCUCUUUAGUCAUAUUUCUUAUCUUGAAAGCUGAGUUUUUGUGUUAUAUAGCCACAUCAUUUUCAUGGUAUAUUUUUUCCCAUAAUUUUGAUCAGUAUCUUUGUGUAAAAUAUAUGACAUAUAUGGACUGGCCUUGUGGUACAUCAGAAUGACAAUUUGAGUUGCAACUACUUCAUAUCUUUCUUCUUCUUUUUUUUAAAUAAAGAUUUAUUUAUUUAUUUAUCUGAAAGAGUUACAGAGAGAGGGAGAGACUGAGAUUUCAAAAAAAUUUGUACCACAAUAAAUGUGUCUUUUUUUGGCUUUUUUCUUUUUUUUUCUAACUUUUAUUUAAUAAAUAUACAUUUCCAAAGUACAGCUUUUGAAUUACAGUGCCCCCCCAUAACCUCCCUCCCACCCGCAACCAUCCCAUCUCCCGCUCCCUCUCCCAUCCCAUUCACUAAAUGUGUCUUUUUAUUCUGUAUACAUCGAAAACACUUUUACACUACAGAGUAAAAACAUGAGUGCUUUGGUUGUUACUUUAUUUUUCUAACCACAAUAUGGUUAGGAAGACAUUGAAAUGUUUCCUAUGCCUCCAUAAAAUCAUCCCCAGGGUGGCCCUGCCUUAUAUUACUGAUUUUUUUUGAGAUAAGGAUUUUAUUUAAGAAUAAUAACAAACAAAAUUCAUUAUGAUUCCCAGUUCAUUAAGUGAACCGCUCAUCGAACAGGGCCCUGUAGGAGCCAGGUUCUUAAGUCAUGAUCGAGGUUAGCAGAGACAGGAAGGUGGGAGAUCGCAGUGAGGACCCAGGUGACGACUGAGGCGAUGCCAAGGUCCUGUGCUGGCAUCUGGUUGGAUAGCACGAAGAAGACAGAGUCUUUAUCCUUAAAAACCAGUAACCUCCACUGCAACCUCCACUCAGAAUGCAAGCUUGAUAAAGGCGGGGAACCGGACAGAAUGGGGAUAAGGAGGGUGGGUGGGUGUCGGCACUAUGGCAUAGCAGGUAAAGCCGCAACCCACAGCAUGGGCAUUCCAUAUGGCUGCUGGCUCAAAUUCUGGCUGUUCCUCUUCUGCUCCAGCUUUUUGCUGUGGCCUGGGAAGGCAGUAGAAGAUGGCCCAAGUCCUUGGGCCCCUGCACUCGUGUGGGAGACCCAGAAGAAGCUCCUGGCUCUUGGCUUUGGAUUGGCCCAGCUCCUGUCAUUGCAGCCGUUCGAGGAGUGAAACAGUGGAUGAAAGAUCUCUCUCUCUCUGCCUCUGCCUCUCUGCAGCUCUGCCUUUUAAAUAAAUAAAUAAUCUUUUUUUUUUUUUUUUAAAGAUAGAAUCUGGUGUAUCAGCAUCUUCCCAGCCCAAAGCACAGUGCCUGGCACAGGCAGGAUUUGAGGCGUCAUUUAACAGCCUCCACUCCAGGUGUCGUUCAGAUUUAGAAUUCCCAUGGAGUGUCGAUGUGGAGAUCUUCAUAGAGGAGAGACUAACCUAGGCUUCCGGCGUGGUGGGAGUUUGAAGGAUGGAGGGCCGAUGAAAAGACUUGGAGCAGAUGUGUGGGGAGUGUUAGCGAUGCUGGGAAGUGCAGUGGGCAGUCCCUCAGUCUUGGGAGAUAAGACGAGGAAGUGGUUCUCUGGGCAGGCUGAAUGUCCUGAACAGCACAAAGCAUCCUAGGCACAGUGUCUGAGGGUAGGUUUGGAACACAAGCAGUGGAAAAUAAGAGAAAACUGUGACAUGAGACUUUCGUUAUUAUGCAACAUUGUUGGCCUGGGCCCACUGUUGUCAGCCUUGAUGAAGUUUUUCCUGAAUCCGAGUGUUCAGCCUCCCACACACACAGCCCAUGGUCUGCAGGGACUUCCUCAUUUUGCACAGGCAUGAUGAAAUCUCUGAGGAGUUUGGUCUUAAACUCUUGGCUCAAGCAUAUUUUCUGUGUUCAGUUCAAUUAGGUAAAUCUACUUACUCUAUAGCAAGAAAUCACACCAAAUUCAAAACCGUCCAAACGGGGACUUGGCAUAAGAUCUUGAGACCUCUGCAUGGAACAACAGGAAGAGACAGAGCUUGCAUUAGCAUGUUUAAGCGUGCUCUAGCCAUGAAGUGUCUGAAUUUAGUAGGGAUCCAAAAUCAGCAAUGCCUCAUUUUCACUAAGUGGAGAAUACUGGGUGGGCCCAAGUGAAAAUACAGACUGAAGCAGAGGAUUUAAUGUGAAUUCAACCAACCAACCUUCCUUCCUUCCUCCCUUUCUUUCUUUCUUUCUUUCUCUCUCUCUCUCUUUCUUUCUCUCUCUCUCUCUCUCUCUCUCUCUUUCUUUCUUUCUUUCUUUCUUUCUUUCAGACUCAUUUAUUUAUUUGAAAGGCAUAGUUAAACGGAGAGAGAAAGAGCUUCCAUCCACUGGUUCUCUCCCCAGAUGGCUACAAUGGGUGGGGCUAGGCCAGACCAAAGCCAGGAGUCAGGAGUUUUAUCUGGGUCUUCCACGUGGCUCCAGGACAUGGGCCAUCUUCCACUGCUUUCCCAGGCAGGAGCAGCCGAGACUCAAACCGGCGCCGUAUGGGAUGCCAGCACCACAGGUGGUGGUUUUUCCUGCCAUGCCAGGGUGCCGGCCCUGCAUAUGAACAUUUCUGCUCCACUCUUUACAUCCUAACAGCAUCUAUGGAUUUUGGGUAAGACAGACCAGACGUGAGCCCCAGUCAACUUGUGACAAGUGGUGUAAUAGAUUAGCUCAUCAAUGAGCCAGUGAUUCAAACCAAACAAGCCCUGGACUUUGGUGCAGUGGUUGAAGGGUAGACUGGGGGUGUGGGUAUUGCGCUGGACACUAUUGCAGCUGUUUUGAUGUGAUGAAGAGAGUCAUCCAAAGGUGAGGCCAAUGAUCAGAAAGGGCAGAAUUAAAAGAAUUGAGGAUAAACAGAGAACUAGAUCAAGCCUUAUGUAAAGUCUACCCUAUCUUUAACAUUCACAGAUAUAUGAGCCAAUAGUUUUCAUCUAUUAAACUGAUUUAUCUUGUUUCCUUAUUUAUUCCAGAAAACUAGGUUAUCUUGAGUUUUCUCUCUUUUAUUUUAAGAUUUAUUUUUUUGAAAGGCAGCGUUAGAAGGGAAAAGGGAGGGAGGGUCUGGGCCAGGCCAAAGCCAGCAGCCAGGAGCUUCUUCCAGGUCUCCUACAUGGGUGCAUGGGCCCAAGCAUUUGGGCCAUCUUCCGUUGCUUUCUGAUGCAUGCUAGCAGGAGCUGGAUUGGAAGCAGAGCAGCCAGGACAUGAACCAGUGCCCAGAUCACGUGCUGGCACUGCAGGCAAAGGCUUAACCUUCUAUGCCACGGCUCUGGCCCCUGCUUGUAUUUUUGAAGAUUUAUUUAUUUAUUUGAAAGACAGAGUGAUGGGGGGAAGAGGGGAGAGAGAGAGAGAGGGAGAAAGAGAGAGAGAGAGAGAGAGAGAGAGAGAGAGAAAGAGUUCUGUCUGCUGAUUCACUUUCCAAAUACCCACAACAUCUAAAGCCAGGAUCCAGGAACUCCUGUGGGUCUCCCACGUGGGUGACAGAGGCCCAAGUACUUGGUCCAUCUUCUGUUGCCUCCCAGGUGCAUUAGCAGGAAGCAGCAUCAAAAGACUAACUGUUUGGGAUGCGGGUGUCCCACCGUGCCACAAUGUCAUUCCCCUUUUUGCUUGUCUUACAUUAAGUAAAUAGAAUUGGAAGUGAAAUUUGAAGUCUUUUCCUGUCUGUCAGUCUCACUUUCCUCCCCAGAGUUAACAACUGACAGCUGGUUCCUAUGUAGUUCUAUCAGUUUCCUAUGCAUUUGUAUUACUCGGUAUUAUAAAUUAUACCCUCCCUAUAUUUCAGAAAUUUCAGUACAUCCUUCUUCCUCCACAAUUUAUGUUAAUGCAAGGGUAUUCAUUGCUUAUGAUCCCAACUAUUUCUACCUCUUUCCAUCCAAGAUUUCUAAUCUGUUGGUGGUACAUUCCUGGGCUUUCCCAAAGCUUCCAAGUGAAAAAAUAAAUUCUUCUAAAAGUUCUCAUGCAAAAGGGAUGGGUCUGUUAUUAAGCAGGAGGUUUUUGUUUGUUUGUUUGUUUAAUUACACCAAAAAAAAAGUGAACAUCUGGUCCAGAUAAUCAGUCUUUCUGGAAAAUUACAGACCCAAACUAUCUUUAAAAGCUUGUUCCUUUUUAGGAUCACGCACUGGACAAGGAAAUAAAUUCCCAGAGCUUCAGUUGCACCAGAGAGAACUUCCUAGCCUCAAGACCCAGGUUGACUGUAAGAGGGUGUCAGAGGAUGAGGUGUUGGGGAAUUAUAUUCAGUUAGGCUUCUCUCAAAAGUUGUCAGCUGCCUCUGUAUCCAUCUUGGGAAGAACUACUGUAACAUUAUCUUUAAAUUAUUCAGUGUGGAUGGAGUUCCAGGCUCCUGGCUUCAGCCUGGCUCAUCUGCGGUUGUUGUGGCUCUGUGGGGAGUGAACCAGUGGAUGGAAGAUGUCUUUCUGUCUCUGCCUUUCUCUCUGUCACCCUGCCUUUCCAAUAAAUAAAACAAAUAUUUUCAAAAUAAAUUAUUCAGUGUGGGUCUCUGCAUGUCCCUACUUGGAGUUUCUAACUGCAGGGUUAAAACAAUUGUAGAUGAUUUAAUUUUUUGACAAAUGCUCAAGGGAUCAGACUCUUUGCCGAGAGAGAUAUCUCCCUGAGCUCAGCUAAAGAACAUCCCUGAGAAUGGACCUUCAUAGGGACCUGCACGACGAGUGAAACAGUGGCAGUUUUCUGGGAACAGAGCUUUCAGGCUGUUCCUCUCUGCCUCCUCAGAUGGCCGCUUUAUAUUAUGGUGAAGGUUGCAAGGCUUUUGGUUUUGAAGGCUGCUGGGUAUGUGGGAAGCAGAGACUGGGAACAGAGGAAGUUGUGGUGCCACAGAACUCCUGUUGUGCUGAGAGCUCACUUUCCCCUCGAUUAUACACUCAGAACGUUUCCAGGCGCUGACUAAUUUCCGAGUCCUGAUGAUUCGGGUUGAUAAUGUUUGUCAGUGUUGCUUUUGCUUUGGUGGAAGAGCAGAUGUUCAGAGGCCUCACUCUCUAAUUUUGCAAGUGCUUCAGCUCCUUAAAUUUUGAGCUUUACUGCAAGCCCAGUUGAGGAAAGUCAUCAGGAAACAAUUCCAAGAUGCUUCCAGGAGAAGGAAGUUUUGAACCAAUGAUAUGGUCUCAACCCCAAGAUGCCUCUGACGCUCAGAUGCCUCCGGGCCAUACACAUACACAUAUAUGUGUAUGCCCAUGUGUGGGGCCGUAAGGAAGGACCCGUGACCCUGGGAUCCCCACACAACUUUGGAAAACAGUAACUGAUACUUGAUAGUGAUCACAAGGGUUAUCUGUUUGGCUCCAGCCAUGACAGGUGAGCACCCGAGAGAAGAGAGAGUUAUUUCGGCUCACAGUUCUGGAGGUCCACGGCUGAAGGGCUGUAUCUGAUGGUGAGGCAGUGCAGGCAUUGCAUGGCGGGAGGCAGGGAGCAUGCAUGCGUGUGCCUCCUCUGCUGUCUGUCUCUCCUCUCAUGAAGUCACCAGUGUUCAGUCUGCCCCGAUGAUCUAUUCCUUCCUAAUUCCCUCCCAAAGGUCCUGCCUCCAUCACCAUAGUUGGGUGAAGUUUCCUCUCUCUAUUGUUUAUUUUUUUUAAUCGAAAGGCAGAGUUAUAGACAGAGGGGAUAGAGAGAGGGAGAGACAAACCACGUGCACGCACACCCGAGAGAUGGGGGGGGUCUUCCAUCAGCUGGUUCACUCCCCAAAUGGCUGCAAUGGGUGGGGCUGGGCCAUGCCAAAGCCAGAAGCCCAGAGUUUUUUCUGGGUCUCCCAUGUGGAUUCAGGGGCCCAAGCACUUGGGCCAUCUUCUUCUGUUUUCCCAGGUGCAUUAACAGGGAGUUGGACUAGUAGUGGAACAGCUGCGUCUUGAACUGGCACCCAUAUGGGAUGCUAGUUCUGCUGGCUGCAGCUUUACUCACUACUCCACAACACCAGCCUCUCUUUCUCUCUUUUAAAGAUUUAUUUAUUUGCUUGAAAGGAUUUACUUGAAAGGCAGAAUUAGAGAAGGGGGGGAGACACACACACACACACGUACACACACACAGAGGGGAGAGAGAGAGAGAGAGAGAGAGAUCUUCUAUCUGCUAGUUCAUUCCCUAAAUGGCCCCAGUGUUUAGGGCUGGGCCAGGCUGAAGCCCAGAGCCUGAAACUCCAUCCAGGGGUGAUCUCCCACAUAUGGGUGCAGGGGCCCAGCUACUUGAGCCACCUUCCACUGGUUUCCCAGGUGCAUUAGCAGAGAGCUGGAUUGAAAGUGGAUGCUGGUACUACAGGUGUUGGCUUAACUUAAUGCACCACUGUGCUGUCACCCUACUCUCAUUUUUAAAAAAUGCUAUUUAUUUUUUUGGAAGGCAGAGUGAGGAAAAAGGAGAGAGAUGGGGGUAGGGGAAUUUUUAUUUGUUGGUUCACUUCCCAAAUGCCUGCCUGCCUUAGGCCAGGCUGAAGCUAAGAGCCAGAAACUCCAUCUGUGUCUCUCACAUGGGUGGUGGCAACCCAUGUACUUAAGCCAUCAUCUGCUACCUUUCAGGAUGUGUAUCAGCAGGAAGCUGGAUAGGAAGUAGAGGUGGGAUUUGAUUCUAGGUGCUCUGAUAUGGAUUGUGACAUCACAAGCAGUGCCAUAAUGCCUGCUCUAGUUUUCAUUCUCUAGUUUUCACUCACAAUGAAUGUUAAAUUUCAGCACAUGAAUCUUUAGAGCACACACUCAAACCAUGUGCAAGCCUUAAUAGUGAAUUUCGACACUGAUAUGUGACUUUCUUUUAAAUCAUAAACUAGUGAGCUAGCACAUUUUAUUUACAGAAAAUUUUUUUUGACAGGCAGAGUGGACAGUGAGAGAGAGAAAGAGAGAGAGAGAGAGAAAGGUCUUCCUUUACCGUUGGUUCACCCUCCAAUGGCCGCUGCGGCCCGUGUGCUGUGGCCGGCGCACCUCGCUGAUCCGAAACCAGGAGCCAGGUGUUUCUCUUGGUCUUCCAUGCAGGUGCAGGGCCCAAGCACUUGGGCCAUCCUCCACUGCACUCCUGGGCCACAGCAGAGAGCUGGACUGGAAGAGGAGCAACCGGGACAGAAUCCGGCACCCUGACUGGGACUAGAACCCGUAGUGCCAGUGCCACAGGCGGAGGAUUAGCCUAGCGAUCCACGGCGCCGGCCUACAGAAAUAUUGAUAAUAUAAUAUUUGAUGAACAGGACAAUAGGCAUUCAGGGAUCAAAUGUAUGUUCAUCUUAUUAAGCAUUAGAUCUGUGAAACAUACACUCUAGUGAGUAAAAAUGUGUACUAUAGAUGUAAUAAUGGAUUACAAAAAGACAUCUUUAAUGAGUGUUUACUCUUUGCCACAUGUUGCAUAAGUUACUUUAUCUGAGUAUACUUCAGAUUUUCACUGAAAUUAUGACAUAUCAUAAUCCCUACUUGACAAUCAAGGAACUAUUUUUUUUAAAAGAUUUACUUUAUUUAUUUGAAAGAGUUACAGAGAGAGGUAGAGACAAAGAGAGAGGCCUUCCAUCCGCUGGUUCACUCUCCAGAUGGCCGCAACAGCUGGAGCUGUGCUGACCCGAAGCCAGGAGCCAGGAGCUUUUUCUGGGUCUCCCACAUGUGUGCAGGGGCCCAAGGACUUGGACCAUCUUCUACUGCUAUUCCAGGCCAUAGCAGAGAACUGGAUGGGAAGAGGAGCAGCCUGGACUAGAACCGGUACCCAUAUGGGAUGCUGGCACUGCAGGCCAGGGCUUUAACCCGCUGCACCACAGCGCUGACCCCAGAGACUAUUUCAGUCUACAAACCCAAUGUAGUAAUAUGUAUAAGAGAACAACAUCUAGCAUUGAAGGAUGAGUUGACAAGGUCAUUUAGCACAUAAGAUGCCUGGCUCUCAGGCUUAAAUGAAGGAAAGCCUGUGCUGUACGAUUCUCCCCUGUUACCCUUCUUCUCUGAUGUAUUAAAGCCAGAAGAAGUGGGUGGAAAGGGAGUCACUGAAGCUCAUCCUACCGCGUUUUCCACUGGGUAGGACAGUCGGGAGACUGAUCGCAAUAAACAAGCGGCUAUGUGGCAAGUACCUGGGACCUAUGCAGCAUCACCCGACACAAGGCCAAGUCCCUCCCUGCCUCGGAUCCAUGCAUGACCCCCAGCACCUGUAGGAUGAAGUGGAAGCUCAACAUGUGGCAAGACAUGGAACAUUCGUCAUGUCUUGCCCCUCAAUGGAACAGGACCCUGCUUCUUCUGAGACACGAGGCAGAGUUACAGAUUGAGAGAGAGAUCUUCCAUCUUCUGGUUCGUUCUCCAAAUGGCCACAAUGGCUGCAGCUUGGCCAGACUGAAGCCAAAAGCCUGGAGCCAGGAGCUUCUUCCGGGUCUCCCACAUGGGUGCAGGGGCCCAAGCACUUGGGCCAUCCUCUGUUGCUUUCCCAGGUGCAUUAGCAGGGAGCUGGAUUGGAAGUAGAACAGCUGGAUCUCGAACCAGCGCCCAUAUGGGAUGCUGACAUUGUGGGCGGUGGCUUAACCUGCUAUGCCACUGCCCUGGCCCCUAUCUGAAUACUUUUAUAGCAAUUUGACGUUGCUGCAACUUCCAAGCAUUUUGGUAUUUUAUUCAUUGUCCUUUACAAAACUAGCAGCCCAAGUUUGAAAAACAAACAAUAAACAAGAAUUGGUCCCGCA